RNAcentral lists this transfer RNA (73 nucleotides) under Gloeotilopsis planctonica. RNAcentral's name for it is "tRNA-His". It matches the Rfam family "tRNA". Rfam says of the family: Transfer RNA (tRNA) molecules are approximately 80 nucleotides in length. Their secondary structure includes four short double-helical elements and three loops (D, anti-codon, and T loops). Lineage: Eukaryota; Viridiplantae; Chlorophyta; Ulvophyceae; Ulotrichales; Ulotrichaceae. The record is from RNAcentral.
GCGUACAUAGUGUACUUGGUUUGCACAGGGCUUUGUGACAGCCCUAGAACAAGUUCGAAUCUUGUUGCACGCC